AUGGCUCAGGAUGAACGCUAGCGGCAGGCUUAACACAUGCAAGUCGAGGGGCAUCGGGAGUAGCAAUACUGCCGGCGACCGGCGCAAGGGUGCGUAACGCGUGAGCAACAUGCCCGUAUCAGGGGGAUAAUCCAUGGAAACGUGGUCUAAUACCCCAUAGUAAUUAUGUAAGGCAUCUUAUAUAAUUUAAAGCUUUGGUGGAUACGGAUUGGCUCGCGUGACAUUAGCUGGAUGGUAAGGUAACGGCUUACCAUGGCUACGAUGUCUAGGGGUCCUGAGAGGAAGGUCCCCCCACACUGGAACUGAGACACGGUCCAGACUCCUACGGGAGGCAGCAGUGAGGAAUAUUGGACAAUGGAUGGAAAUCUGAUCCAGCCAUGCCGCGUGCAGGAAAGACGGCCCUAUGGGUUGUAAACUGCUUUUGUAUGGGAGCAAUAAGGGCUACGUGUAGUCCGAUGAGAGUACCAUACGAAUAAGCACCGGCUAACUCCGUGCCAGCAGCGGC
RNAcentral lists this ribosomal RNA (505 nucleotides) under uncultured bacterium. RNAcentral's name for it is "bacterial SSU rRNA". It matches the Rfam family "Bacterial small subunit ribosomal RNA", at positions 19 to 518 of the family's 1533-position model. The record is from RNAcentral.